GAUGAAGAACGUAGCGAAAUGCGAUAAGUUAUGUGAAUUGCAGAAUUCAGUGAAUCAUCGAAUCUUUGAACGCACAUUGCGCCCCUUGGUAUUCCGAGGGGCAUGCCUGUUCGAGCGUCAUUAUAACCCCUCAAGCUCAGCUUGGUGUUGGGGCCUGCUGCACUGGCAGCCCUUAAAAUCAGUGGCGGCGCCAUCUGGCUCUAAGCGUAGUAAUUCUUCUCGCUAUGGAGUCCUGGUGGAUGCUUGCCAUCAACCCCCAAUUUUUCUAUGGUUGACCUCGGAUCAGGUAGGGAUACCCGCUGAACUUAAGCAUAUCAAUAAGCGGAGGA
RNAcentral lists this unclassified non-coding RNA (329 nucleotides) under soil metagenome. Its description in RNAcentral is "partial contains 5.8S ribosomal RNA, internal transcribed spacer 2, and large subunit ribosomal RNA". The stretch from base 1 to 120 matches the Rfam family "5.8S ribosomal RNA", at positions 35 to 154 of the family's 154-position model. The record is from RNAcentral.